Molecule: ribosomal RNA, 301 nt
Filed under: uncultured bacterium
Lineage: Bacteria
Description: partial 16S ribosomal RNA
Rfam family: Bacterial small subunit ribosomal RNA
Source: RNAcentral
CAGUCGCCGCGGGAAUACAGAGGAUGCAAGCGUUAUCCGGAAUGAUUGGGCGUAAAGCGUCUGUAGGUGGCUUUUCAAGUCCGCCGUCAAAUCCCAGGGCUCAACCCUGGACAGGCGAUGGAAACUACCAAGCUGGAGUAUGGUAGGGGCAGAGGGAAUUUCCGGUGGAGAGGUGAAAUGCGUUGAGAUCAGAAAGACACCAACGGCGAAAGCACUCUGCUGGGCCGACACUGACACUGAGAGACGAAAGCUAGGGGAGCAAAUGGGAUUAGAUACCCCCGUAGUCCCUGUCUCUUAUACA